This 312-nucleotide long non-coding RNA is filed under the name Citrus maxima (pomelo). RNAcentral's name for it is "long non-coding RNA (CMAX_LNC004092)". The record is from RNAcentral. Lineage: Eukaryota; Viridiplantae; Streptophyta; Magnoliopsida; Sapindales; Rutaceae.
CACUAGUUGAUCAACAUUUUCAACACCAACAACAAGCCCUCAAAUCAAAAGAAUGCAUGUAAAUUAACAACUUUAAAAACUGACAAUAUGAAUGCUACUACCUCCUCGGAAUUCAAACUGUAGCAGGAAAAUAGCAAAUAUCCUGAAAACUCCAUCUCUGUCACAAAAUCACAUAUUUGAUAGGACCAUAACCCAUGAGAUAAUGUGACUAUAUCAUUGCUCCAACAGUCCAACCACUUCAUGUUUUGAUCCUUGAAUGCAAUACUUGCACAAGUAAUUAAUCAAUUAAAAAUUAUUCUUCUUACUUUUUUA